AGAGUUUGAUCCUGGCUCAGAGUGAACGCUGGCGGUAGGCCUAACGCAUGCAAGUCGAACGGCAGCACAGGAGAGCUUGCUCUCUGGGUGGCGAGUGGCGGACGGGUGAGGAAUACAUCGGAAUCUACUUUUUCGUGGGGGAUAACGUAGGGAAACUUACGCUAAUACCGCAUACGACCUACGGGUGAAAGCAGGGGAUCUUCGGACCUUGCGCGAUUGAAUGAGCCGAUGUCGGAUUAGCUAGUUGGCGGGGUAAAGGCCCACCAAGGCGACGAUCCGUAGCUGGUCUGAGAGGAUGAUCAGCCACACUGGAACUGAGACACGGUCCAGACUCCUACGGGAGGCAGCAGUGGGGAAUAUUGGACAAUGGGCGCAAGCCUGAUCCAGCCAUACCGCGUGGGUGAAGAAGGCCUUCGGGUUGUAAAGCCCUUUUGUUGGGAAAGAAAUCCAGCUGGUUAAUACCCGGUUGGGAUGACGGUACCCAAAGAAUAAGCACCGGCUAACUUCGUGCCAGCAGCCGCGGUAAUACGAAGGGUGCAAGCGUUACUCGGAAUUACUGGGCGUAAAGCGUGCGUAGGUGGUCGUUUAAGUCCGUUGUGAAAGCCCUGGGCUCAACCUGGGAACUGCAGUGGAUACUGGGCGACUAGAAUGUGGUAGAGGGUAGCGGAAUUCCUGGUGUAGCAGUGAAAUGCGUAGAGAUCAGGAGGAACAUCCAUGGCGAAGGCAGCUACCUGGACCAACAUUGACACUGAGGCACGAAAGCGU
Molecule: ribosomal RNA, 765 nt
Filed under: uncultured bacterium
Lineage: Bacteria
Description: bacterial SSU rRNA
Rfam family: Bacterial small subunit ribosomal RNA
Source: RNAcentral